GUAGGGUGCGAGCGUUAAUCGGAAUUACUGGGCGUAAAGCGUGCGCAGGCGGUGAUGUAAGACCGAUGUGAAAUCCCCGGGCUCAACCUGGGAACUGCAUUGGUGACUGCAUUGCUCGAGUAUGGCAGAGGGGGGUGGAAUUCCACGUGUAGCAGUGAAAUGCGUAGAGAUGUGGAGGAACACCGAUGGCGAAGGCAGCCCCCUGGGCCAAUACUGACGCUCAUGCACGAAAGCGUGGGGAGCAAACAGGAUUAGAUACCUGGUAGUCCCACGCCCCUAAACGAUGUCAACUGGUUGUCGGGCCUUCAUUGGCUUGGUAACGUAGCUAACGCGUGAAGUUGACCCGCCUGGGAGUACGGUCGCAAGAUUA
This 370-nucleotide ribosomal RNA is filed under the name uncultured organism. RNAcentral describes it as "partial 16S ribosomal RNA". It matches the Rfam family "Bacterial small subunit ribosomal RNA", at positions 527 to 896 of the family's 1533-position model. The record is from RNAcentral.